This is a long non-coding RNA of Ictalurus punctatus (channel catfish), 7552 nucleotides long. The record is from Ensembl. NCBI's taxonomy places the organism in Eukaryota, Metazoa, Chordata, Actinopteri, Siluriformes, Ictaluridae.
AUAUAUAUAUAUAUAUAUUCUGUUAUUUCUUAUAUUCUUCAGGACUAGGAAAUUGACAUACUGCUACACAUGCCACUGUUUUUAUUUAAGGCAGUAUCUUUUUUUUAAUUGUGCCUCUGGCUUUGCCUUUGGAUAUACAGGAUAAAACAGUAGACACUUUACUCUCCUUGAUAGAUGAAUGUUGUGUUCAAUAUGUGGGUGUUAUGGGUAUGUGUGUGUAUAUAAGAGAGUGUGUCUGUAGGAAUUGGGCUACCACUGAAGGCUGAUUGACAGGCUGCAGAAUGCUGGGUCAGGUAGCAUGUGGCGAGUGUGUCCAUGUUUUGCGUGCCUAAACAGAAGCAUGUAUAAGCGUAGCCUCGGCCCUUUCUGACAGCCCAGACACCAUACAGCUGCUUGCUUGAUUGAGACAUCUGCAGCAAGCAGAUGGGCUUCGAGAAGAACAGGGUUUUGAUGUCUAUCACUGACAUUAAAACAGCGAUACACUGCAUUUACACAAUGUGAGGUGAAGACGGAGGCCAGUUACACGUUCGACUGCAGGACGCAGGCUCUGUCUACAACACUUGAGUGCUGUUUUAUUCACAGAACUUCUUCAAAACUUUCAGUUUUGCUCAAGUUGCUGAGGACGGAGCUCAGAAAUGGGUUGCUCAGAGCUCAAAGGAAAAGAUGUUUUUUUAACAGUACACCAUAAUAAAGCCAUGCAGUGCAAUACACAGUGGAGUGCAUGGUGUUUUGUUUGCUGUACUGUCUUCUGAGUUUGCAAGUUGAAAGUGCGAAAGUUAAAGUCUCUUUCUCCUUUUCUCUCUUUCAUUUCUGCGCCUCUCUCUCUCUCUUUCUUUCUGUCUCUCUCUCGCCCCUCCCCAUUUUUCUGUGUCUGCAGUUGGUCUUGGAUCAGUGUGUUGGAGGUACAGCUCUCUUCCAGUCAGCUCUGGAUUUGUGGAUCCCUCGAGAAAGCAACAUAUACUAAAAUGUGCACUUUCACAACUAUUCAUUCUUGCACUCUUAUCAUCUGCUUUAUUUAUUCUCCACACAGUUACGCAAACGCUUUUGCUGUCUGGCUGUGAUUUCUACCGAAUGGCAGCACUUAAACUUUAAAACAUUUAUGAUUAUCCAAAAAAAAAAAAAAAAAAAGACCAUUACAGUGGUCAGCAGUGACCUUUGUAUUUUACACUGUCCCUUUUCCGUUGUUUUUAUCCCAUUUUCAGUCCCCAGUCCAACUUUCCGUCCAUUUCUUUUUUAUGUUCAAACCACGACCAACCACCGCAGAGCCACGUGACGUCCGAGACCUGAGCGAGUCUCGGGUUGCCAUAGCAUUGGGGUUAUUAAGAGAUCCAGUGGCUGCCUGCCUCCCCUUUUAUGAUUCUCUGGCUGAAUAAAAAUUUAAAAGGCCAUUAAACACCAUUACCCCCUCCAGUGUAGGUGUCACUGCGAGCGAUGCUGAGUGAAGUAGCUUAUUUUUCUAUUAGCAGAGCGAGGAGAGCUGGAGAGAGCAUAGGGCCAGGGUAAACGAGUCUUUGCUCUAGUCUGGCCACACGGUCACUCUUUAAUUAGCCUGCCCUUCUCCUCUUUGUCUAAUGGAGCUCUGAGCUCUGACAAGGCUAAGUCUUUCCAAACAAGCUCAUAGCAUACAUUAGUCGCGUUGGCACAGGUAGUGCCUGGAUCUUCCUGAAAUAACUGAAUGGAGCAUUUUUCAGUCCAAUUAAAGUACAUGCAGGACCACUGCACUCUGUACAAUGAAUAUCAUUUCGGUUGAAUGUACCUCACAUACUUCGUCCUUGAAUUUUCGUUUAGAAAAGUUAGCUGAAUCUCUUCCUCCUCCUCCUCCUCCUCCGCCUCCUCUUCCUCCUCCUCAUCAUCCUCACACUUACAGCCCCAAACAGGACGAGUGGUGUGUGGAAAAGGGGAACAGAGGGGCUGGGUUGGAAAGACUCUCUCUCGGGCAGAUGGUGAGAAGACAGGGGAGCAGUCACCCCACUGUUCAGCCAGCAGAGACACACACUCACAGUGGCACACACAUGCACACACACACAUUUUCUGAACAGCUAUCUGCUAUAAUCUUUCAUUCAAUAAAACGGCACUGUGGCACGACCUUUAUUCUGCUUAAUGUUUGCAGCAUGUAUGCACUCUUGUACCACUUGCCUUCUUGCCUUUUCUGAAUCUGUCCUGUGUUUUUAAAACACUUCUGCUUGCCACUUUAGGCUCCAGCUUUUCUCCUCCCUUUCUUUCUCCAGCUCCCUUUAAGAGCCCUUUAAGGAUGAUUACUCUCCAACUGAAGGUCAGGUUUUUAUGUUAAUCUCGACCGCUUUAGUGUUGUCAGGAACACCGAAGCGAGUUAUACAUCUCACCGAGACCAAAGUCCUUUAAAGCUCACAAAAGUAGAGAAUAGUGGCUGAAUAUACAGUAGCAUUUCGCUCUGGUAUUUAUUUUUUUCUUCAUGAGUGGCAUUAUCAGGUGGCUUGUCUUUGUUUUUUUUUUUGUUGUUUUUUUGUUUUUUUUCCCCCCUGUUGUUAAGCUCAUACGUUUGACUGUGUUCCAUGUAACCCCUUGCGAUGUGUGACACUCACCAGCCGCUCCCAUAUGGCGAGGAAAGAAAGAGGCUUUGUCACAUACCAGGUUGUGGUGUUUUUUUUUUUUUUUUUCUCUUACAGCAUUGCAAACAGGCUCAAACGCAGUGAGAGGUUGGCUAAUUACAACAGGCCUUCCUUUAAUUAUUCUCCCAAAGCAGAAAGAAGGAGGGAGCGCUGUGCUCUCCCCCUUGCCCACACUCUCAUCUGCAGCGGACAACAGACAACUUCGGGCUGGGACAUGCAUUCUGUUUAACACGUGUCAUGCUUUCAUCCAGAGGUUGUCAAGCACGCCUCUUAUGAAAAUUCAUUAGGAUGUUGCUAAAUUGGCCGUAGACUUGCGGUCUCUUAAUUAGGGACUGCUGCGAAACUUUUUGUAACAUCAACUUUGGAUUUUUCGAGUCCAUUUUCCGUUUUCCUCCGAGUUUAAGAGUCUUAAUAGUCUGUUUAGUAUGGGAUGUGAAAUUUGGUGCAUCUGGGUAAAAAUGGUGUACGCUUUCAGGUUAAACUACAGAUGGCACACUAAGGCACUGGCUGUUAAUAAUGAAGGAUGUUUGGCAUUAUUUGUGUCUGCAUGUAAAGUGUUUUGUAAAAAGUAGGCGAGUUUGCUAGCCUGGUAGAUUUAUGUAUCCCACAGGGAUUGCUGGCCCACUAAGAUGCUGCCGUUGCUCUACAUAAUUAUAAUGAGAAGGUACUUGUAAACUCAUUAAUAUGUGUUUGAGUCGAAAAUGUUUCGUCACAUAAAUUCUGUGACUGAUGCACAUUCAUUAACAGGUAAGUCAUUUAUAAGGACGGACAUUGGAAAAAAGUUGAAAAAAAGUUGAAAUGAAAAAAAAAAAUUGUUAGGUUUCUGGAAUGAGUAAUAAUGACGUCUUUUAAGCCACGACCUGGGGCACACAUGCAUCUGUCCACGCUGUGAUAUUUGAGUAAAUGAGAGGAUGUGGAUGUUUUAUCACAGACAUUCAUGCUACAUUUAUCUGAUAAGGAUAACACUUCUCUCUGCAUUAGGGAAAUAUGACUUGUUGGCAGAGUGUGUGUGGGGGUUGGGGGUGGGGAGGUGAAUCCGGCUGAUGACAUUAAAAUCAGGCUGCAUUAACAUUUGUUGUGAGAGGUUUUCUGGGGAUUAAGCUGGGCUGGCCUGAACGACGUUGGCCAUUCAUUAACCUUGGCUCCAGAACGCUAGCUUUAAUACAAUAAAGAUGCUUAAUCUGGCUGGGUAACACAGCUGAGGCAAUGUAGUACAGUGUGAUAUUGCUUUGAGUUCUCUCACACCGUUUCACUAAUUAAGCCUGGAGUGCAACAUCAGGUCUUCCUAUGCGCUAUAAUCAUUUUAAAUUUCUUUUUGAUUGAUUUGUGUUGGCCUUAACUAUGCUUUGUGAGAGAUCAAUAAAUAAAGAUCAAUACUUCAAUGUUUUCUUCAGACCCUAUAUUAAAAAAUAGAUUGCUUAUAAAGAGGGCUAAAUUACUGAUAGUAGCGCCUGCACUGAAUGCAUGUCAACUGGAAUUUAAUUGGACAACACUGAGCCGUUUGGGAUUAGUUGAAGGAGUGCUGGCACAGAGCAGAGAGACAGAGAGAGGGAUAGAGAGAAUAAAGAGAAAUCCUAUCAUAGUGGAAUUAAAGUUAUACCAAUGACCACUGAGCAUGACACCAUGUCCACCACCCAGUAACUAAUAUAUUCCAUAUAUUUGCUAUAACUUACACUGUUAAUAUAAUUUUUUUAUUAUAGUAUACUUUACUAUUCUAUUCUAGUCUAUACCAUAACUAUACUAUACUAUACCAUACUGUGCUGUACUUUUCUAUUUGAUAUCAUACUAUGCUAUACUACACUAUACUGUACUACACUAUACUAUACUAUUCUAUUCUAUACCAUAACUAUAGUAUACUGUACUGUGCUGCACUACACUAUACCAUAUUAUACUACACCAUACUAUACUAUAUCAUACUAUGUUAUACUACACACUAUACUGUACUACACUAUACUAUUCUAUACUAUACCAUAACUAUACUAUACUAUUCUAUUCUAUUCCAUAACUAUAUUAUACUGUUCUAUGUUGUACUAUUCUAUACUAUAUCAUACUAUGCUAUACUACACACUAUACUGUACUAUACUAUACUAUUAUAUUCUAUAUCAUACUAUACUAUUCUAUACUAUACUGUACUGUAUUACUGUAUUCUAUCUAACCCCUACACUGCACUAUAUUACACUAUACUACACACUACACUAUACCAGUCUAUUCUAUACCAUACUACACUAUACUACAUUAGUCCAUAUUGAUAUAAUGAGUAAUAUCAUUGCAUACUGUGAAUGAUAGAUUUUAUUUCUCUGAGUUGCAGUUCACCAUUCGUAAAAUGUCAAAACAUUAAAGCCUUCAAAAGUUCAGAAAAAGACUUUGAUUUUGCUGUUUGGACGAACGUUUCUGGUCCUCUGUGUGAGUGAACCCCUGGAAAGGUUUCUGUGAAGCCUCAGUGGGCCGGAACUCAAGUUUGGCUACGUAGAGAAGUUGCAGUACAGCAUGUAGCUGCAGAUCAUAAUUGUAGCCCAUAUCUACAGAGCACUGAAGCGUCUCUUUAUGUCUCUCUUCCCCUCUUCUUCAUCCUGAGCAUGCAGGAUUGGGUUGUAUCAUGUGCUUCUGGUGGCCUUCAGAGAAGGUACUCACACCACAACUACUUGUGAACAAUUAAUUUAAAGUGAUACAUCAGGGAAGAAAUGGAGGCCUAUUAAGGCAUUGACUGAUGUUGCAAAACUCAAUGCUGUUUGCACUGGAUGUUUAAUAAUUGUUGAAAACAUUUCACAAGAAAGAGUAAUGUCAUUUAUUAUUCAUCAUACGUUUGCUAUCUAACAAUCAGGAUGCUACCCAGGAAGGAGCAAUAACAUAACAAUCAGGACAGCGUAUUGAUACAAUACCAUGGUUUUAGACAAGGCGUAGAAUAGAGUGGAAUGGACAUGCAGGUAGAACAGAUUUACCCAGGUGACAUAUUAAAAUGUUUUAGGAGCCAUGUUCUAGGUGCACAACAUAUGCUAUCGGGCCAGCACUACAGAUUUUGAGUAUUAUGUAGUGCCAACAUCGAUUUUUAUCUUUUUUUGCCUACCCAUGAUUAGCAGUAUAGAUGAUUCUCUGCACCUCUAUUCUUUUCUCUCCUCUUCUUUCUCCUCUCCUGCAGCUGGCAUGAGAGAGGAAAGGGACAGCUGUGGGCUAAGUCCAGCCUGAGCCUGCAGGGAACGGGGGGUUAACACAACAGAGGCUCUAGUCCCUGGGCUUCCUUUAAUAGCCCCAGUUUGACCCUGGCACCACACACGCAGCCUCUAUUGCCAGUCUAUGAUUAAUGACCUGGUUUUGCUGCACACACAUUCAGAUACACACAGCACAUACACACACGUACAUGCACUACUAUAUUACUAUGGAGCUUAUGAUACCUAUGCUGCACUGGGGCUUCAGUGUGUGUAGGUGUGUCUGUGUGGAUGUAUGUACGUGUAUCAUUUCCCAGCCUCACCUUUCUUGAUUUAUUAGUCACAGUGUGUGUGUGUGUGUGUGUGUGUGUGGACAGUUUGAGAAAAAGGUUGAGAUAGCCAUCUGAAGUGGAUUGAUUUCCUCCAUAGAAUGUGCUUAUCAGUUCCACAGUCAAUAAACAAAUGAGCUCUGAAGAUGUGCAUGCAUUUGUAUAUGCACAUUUGUGUGUAUGUGUAUGCGUUCAUGUGUGUGUGUGAUCCUUAAAUCUCCAGAAUGUAGUAGUAGGUUAAAUCUAGUGGCCAAAGAUAGACACUCAGGAUUAACAUGCUCUUAUUAGUAUGUGAAUGAAGUGAACACACUGUACUGCACAUCACCUCUUGUGCUGAAUCUGAUGUACUUUAUAUCAGAGUUCAAAUAAAACUAUUACGAUGCCACAAUCUGUUUAUGCUACGUGCUAAGGAUUUAUUGUACACUUAUAAGUUAUCUAUGCAUUUUUUUAAUGUUUAUUUAUUUUAGUCUCAUAUAUUUUAUUGAAUGGCCUACCCGUUCAAAUAUAGUCCAAAAAUAAUUUGUUGUCGACACUAUGUGCUAUUAAAGAUUUAAUCUGUAACAAAGUGUGGUGUUUCUUGUGUCCACUUCCUGUUAUGAUGAGGUCACAAGAGCAGUGGAGACCAAUUUUUCACACUUGAGAGCAGUUAUACAUUUUCAUUAGUAUUAUUAUUAUUAUUUUCCAUUUUUUCUAAGUCCGCCAUGUUUUAACUGUGUGCAGGCUGCCAUGUUACAUCAACGCAGAGCCAACUGGCCAGCCGUGAUCGUCAUUAUCAGCUUUUCUCUAGUGCAUCUGGAACUCUGUGCUGUCCUUUUUCUCUCCUGCCCAAAGCUCUUGUCCAAGAAAUCCUUCUCUUGGUUUCAAGGCCAAACCAUGGGAAAGCAACAUUGCACAUCAUUAGGUCUACUAUAAUUGUCGCUAAAGGUUAGGAAACCUGCACAUUAUCUUGAUACAUGAGCUACAUGAGAGUUUCCUCAAUGCAUCUGUCUACAUUGGGCAUGAUUUCUUAGAUGGAGAGUGCUGGUCAAAUAUAAGCGAGUGUGUGGAACACAUUCUGUCCAUUCUUGGUCACUUUGGGAGGUUAAGCUAGCAUAAAUGUUGGGAAGUGCAACAGGUCAGCUUUAGUGCAUUUUGUUGUAAUUGGGUCCCAGUUGCGUUGUCAGAAAUCAAUUCACGUUAGGAGCCGGCUAGCAUAGGGAGGUCAAGGCUUCUGCAGCCUAAAUAUUUUAUUUGUACUACACGUCUUGAGCUUUUAAAGUUGGUGCUGUCCUGUUUUUUUCCCCCCAUUUCCCUGACGCACGGAUGCUAUUGGCCAAACCUUUUUACCCAGGUCAGGGCUGGGCUAAAAUCAAUUUGAAUCAAUUAUUAAGCAUUGUGUUUCUAGCGAGAGUUUGCCAAGGUGGUCUACGUCUGCUGCUGGUAGCACCUUAUUGGCCAGCUCAAAUAUGGUUCUCAGAGACAAUAUCCCUGCUAGACAGCACUCCUUCGGAGA